Molecule: ribosomal RNA, 587 nt
Filed under: uncultured bacterium
Lineage: Bacteria
Description: partial 16S ribosomal RNA
Rfam family: Bacterial small subunit ribosomal RNA
Source: RNAcentral
UGGGGAAUUUUGGACAAUGGGCGAAAGCCUGAUCCAGCAAUGCCGCGUGUGUGAAGAAGGCCUUCGGGUUGUAAAGCACUUUUGUCCGGAAAGAAAUCCUUGGCUCUAAUACAGUCGGGGGAUGACGGUACCGGAAGAAUAAGCACCGGCUAACUACGUGCCAGCAGCCGCGGUAAUACGUAGGGUGCAAGCGUUAAUCGGAAUUACUGGGCGUAAAGCGUGCGCAGGCGGUUUGCUAAGACCGAUGUGAAAUCCCCGGGCUCAACCUGGGAACUGCAUUGGUGACUGGGCAGGCUAGAGUAUGGCAGAGGGGGGUAGAAUUCCACGUGUAGCAGUGAAAUGCGUAGAGAUGUGGAGGAAUACCGAUGGCGAAGGCAGCCCCCUGGGCAAUACUGACGCUCAUGCACGAAAGCGUGGGGAGCAAAACAGGAUUAGAUACCCUGGUAGUCCACGCCCUAAAACGAUGUCAACUAGUUGUUGGGGAUUCAUUUCCUUAGUAACGUAGCUAACGCGCGAAGUUGACCGCCUGGGGAGUACGGUCGCAAGAUUAAAACUUAAAUGAAUUGACGGGGUCAUAGCUGUUUCCU